GGCGGCGUAGCUUAGUUGGCUAGAGCGCUCGGUUCAUACCCGGGAGGUCGGUGGUUCGAGUCCACUCGCCGCUACCA
This 77-nucleotide transfer RNA is filed under the name Clostridiales bacterium. RNAcentral describes it as "tRNA-Met". It matches the Rfam family "tRNA". Rfam says of the family: Transfer RNA (tRNA) molecules are approximately 80 nucleotides in length. Their secondary structure includes four short double-helical elements and three loops (D, anti-codon, and T loops). RNAcentral also lists the same sequence under 1 other name. Lineage: Bacteria; Bacillati; Bacillota; Clostridia; Eubacteriales. The record is from RNAcentral.